ACAGUGAUGGAAAGAUGAAAAGAACUUUGAAAAGAGAGUGAAAAAGUACGUGAAAUUGUUGAAAGGGAAGGGCAUUUGAUCAGACAUGGCGUUUGCUUCGGCUUUCGCUGGGCCAGCAUCAGUUUUAGCGGUUGGAUAAAUCCUCGGGAAUGUGGCUCUGCUUCGGUAGAGUGUUAUAGCCCGUGGGAAUACAGCCAGCUGGGACUGAGGAUUGCGACUUUUCAAGGAUGCUGGCGUAAUGGUUAAAUGCCG
This 252-nucleotide ribosomal RNA is filed under the name Kluyveromyces marxianus. RNAcentral's name for it is "partial 26S ribosomal RNA". It matches the Rfam family "Eukaryotic large subunit ribosomal RNA", at positions 350 to 647 of the family's 3401-position model. Lineage: Eukaryota; Fungi; Ascomycota; Saccharomycetes; Saccharomycetales; Saccharomycetaceae. The record is from RNAcentral.